GAUGAACGCUGGCGGCGUGCCUAAUACAUGCAAGUCGAGCGAACAGACGAGGAGCUUGCUCCUCUGACGUUAGCGGCGGACGGGUGAGUAACACGUGGAUAACCUACCUAUAAGACUGGGAUAACUUCGGGAAACCGGAGCUAAUACCGGAUAAUAUAUUGAACCGCAUGGUUCAAUAGUGAAAGACGGUUUUGCUGUCACUUAUAGAUGGAUCCGCGCCGCAUUAGCUAGUUGGUAAGGUAACGGCUUACCAAGGCAACGAUGCGUAGCCGAACUGAGAGGGUGAUCGGCCACACUGGAACUGAAACACGGUCCAGACGCCUAAGGGAGGCAGCAGUAGGGAAUCUUCCGCAAUGGGCGAAAGCCUGACGGAGCAACGCCGCGUGAGUGAUGAAGGUCUUCGGAUCGUAAAACUCUGUUAUUAGGGAAGAACAAAUGUGUAAGUAACUAUGCACGUCUUGACGGUACCUAAUCAGAAAGCCACGGCUAACUACGUG
Molecule: ribosomal RNA, 497 nt
Filed under: uncultured bacterium
Lineage: Bacteria
Description: partial 16S ribosomal RNA
Rfam family: Bacterial small subunit ribosomal RNA
Source: RNAcentral